RNAcentral lists this ribosomal RNA (201 nucleotides) under uncultured soil bacterium. Its description in RNAcentral is "partial 16S ribosomal RNA". It matches the Rfam family "Bacterial small subunit ribosomal RNA", at positions 26 to 255 of the family's 1533-position model. The record is from RNAcentral.
AGAACGAACGCUGGCGGCAUGCCUAAUACAUGCAAGUCGAACGAACACUUCGGUGUUAGUGGCGCACGGGUGCGUAACGCGUGGGAAUCUGCCCUUGGGUUCGGAAUAACAGUUGGAAACGACUGCUAAUACCGGAUGAUAUCGGAAGAUCAAAGAUUUAUCGCCCAGGGAUGAGCCCGCGUAGGAUUAGCUAGUUGGUGA